RNAcentral lists this unclassified non-coding RNA (378 nucleotides) under uncultured bacterium. RNAcentral's name for it is "contains 16S-23S intergenic spacer region". The record is from RNAcentral.
UCCCGGUUAACCCGGGCAGUCUCAUUAGAGUCCCCGCCUUUACGCGCUGGCAACUAAUGAUAAGGGUUGCGCUCGUUGCGGGACUUAACCCAACACCUCACGGCACGAGCUGACGACAGCCAUGCAGCACCUCUGUAGCAGUCCUUGCGGAAAGCCUAAUCUCUUAAGCGGUCCACUACAGUUCAAGCCUGGGUAAGGUUCUUCGCGUUGCAUCGAAUUAAACCACAUGCUCCACUGCUUGUGCGGGCCCCCGUCAAUUCUUUUGAGUUUCAGCCUUGCGACUGUACUCCCCAGGCGGCACACUUAACGCGUUAGCUCCGGCACAGCCAGGGUUGAGCCUAGCUACACCAAGUGUGCAUCGUUUACAGCUGGGACUAC